GGCUGGUCCAAGUGAAGUGGUGUUUACAAUUCAUUGAUCACAGCCAGUUACAGAGUUCUCUGUUCCUUCUCCACUCCCGCUGCUUCACUUGACUGGCCUUAA
Molecule: unclassified non-coding RNA, 102 nt
Organism: Mustela putorius furo (domestic ferret)
Lineage: Eukaryota; Metazoa; Chordata; Mammalia; Carnivora; Mustelidae
Rfam family: Y RNA
About the family: Y RNAs are components of the Ro ribonucleoprotein particle (Ro RNP), in association with Ro60 and La proteins. The Y RNAs and Ro60 and La proteins are well conserved, but the function of the Ro RNP is not known. In humans the RNA component can be one of four small RNAs -- hY1, hY3, hY4 and hY5.
Source: Ensembl